RNAcentral lists this ribosomal RNA (949 nucleotides) under Coleophoma cylindrospora. RNAcentral's name for it is "eukaryotic LSU rRNA". It matches the Rfam family "Eukaryotic large subunit ribosomal RNA", at positions 1 to 965 of the family's 3401-position model. The record is from RNAcentral. Lineage: Eukaryota; Fungi; Ascomycota; Leotiomycetes; Helotiales; Dermateaceae.
GUUGACCUCGGAUCAGGUAGGGAUACCCGCUGAACUUAAGCAUAUCAAUAAGCGGAGGAAAAGAAACCAACAGGGAUUACCUCAGUAACGGCGAGUGAAGCGGUAACAGCUCAAAUUUGAAAUCUGGGUCUUUCAGGCUCCGAGUUGUAAUUUGUAGAAGAUGCUUCGGGUGCGGCUCCGGUCUAAGUUCCUUGGAACAGGACGUCAUAGAGGGUGAGAAUCCCGUAUGUGAUCGGUUGCUUGCGCCCAUGUGAAGCUCUUUCGACGAGUCGAGUUGUUUGGGAAUGCAGCUCAAAAUGGGUGGUAAAUUUCAUCUAAAGCUAAAUAUUGGCCAGAGACCGAUAGCGCACAAGUAGAGUGAUCGAAAGAUGAAAAGCACUUUGGAAAGAGAGUUAAACAGUACGUGAAAUUGUUGAAAGGGAAGCGCUUGCAACCAGACUUGCGCGUUGCCGAUCAUCUGGGGUUCUCCCCAGUGCACUCGGCCUCGCUCAGGCCAGCAUCGGUUUCGGUGGUGGGAUAAAGGCCUUGGGAAUGUAGCUUCUUUCGGGGAGUGUUAUAGCCCUCGGUGCAAUGCCGCCUACCGGGACCGAGGACCGCGCUUCGGCUAGGAUGCUGGCGUAAUGGUUGUAAGCGACCCGUCUUGAAACACGGACCAAGGAGUCUAACAUCUAUGCGAGUGUUUGGGUGUCAAACCCAUACGCGUAAUGAAAGUGAACGGAGGUGAGAACCCUUAAGGGUGCAUCAUCGACCGAUCCUGAUGUCUUCGGAUGGAUUUGAGUAAGAGCAUAGCUGUUGGGACCCGAAAGAUGGUGAACUAUGCCUGAAUAGGGUGAAGCCAGAGGAAACUCUGGUGGAGGCUCGCAGCGGUUCUGACGUGCAAAUCGAUCGUCAAAUUUGGGUAUAGGGGCGAAAGACUAAUCGAACCAUCUAGUAGCUGGUUCCUGCCGAA